This is a non-coding RNA of Chiloscyllium plagiosum (whitespotted bambooshark), 390 nucleotides long. The record is from RefSeq and is a predicted model, not a curated record. NCBI's taxonomy places the organism in Eukaryota, Metazoa, Chordata, Chondrichthyes, Orectolobiformes, Hemiscylliidae.
CAGCUCCUCUGCGGAGUAGCAGUGCGGGAGAUUCCCCCUGUGAUGCCACUUAUUGGAAGGAUCGAUGGCAUAGUCUCUGAAGAUGGGAUAAAUGUUGAAAAUGAGAAGGACAACAUCAUGUAAAGCUGAAAGUGGAUAUAGCCUCAUCCCAGCCUCUACAAGUCCUCUGAAAAAUGCAACUGAAGCUAGUGCUCAGACAGCAACUGCUGCCUUUUGACGGAACUCUUCCACUUUAUUGUAAGACACAGUUAUUCAUUCAUUAAAAAGUAGCUGGUUUUGAAAUCUGCACGGUGAACUGCGAGCAUCGAGAAAUUCAGACAUUUCGGAGAAAGCAUCAUUUCGCAUUCUAAAUCAAUAAUUGUACUAAUAAACCCUUUUCUUGGCGCUGGA